GCCGGAAGAUGACGUCAUCUUCCGGCUCCGGCAUCAGUACGGUGCGCGUGCUUCCUCUUCAGCUCCCUCGCGCACCGUACUGAUGCCGGAGCCGGAAGAUGACGUCA
Pelobates cultripes (western spadefoot toad) is the source of this 107-nucleotide non-coding RNA. NCBI's taxonomy places the organism in Eukaryota, Metazoa, Chordata, Amphibia, Anura, Pelobatidae. The record is from the annotation of a GenBank genome assembly.